CCUACGGGAGGCUGUAGUGGGGAAUAUUGGACAAUGGGGGCAACCCUGAUCCAGCCAUGCCGCGUGUGUGAAGAAGGCCCUCGGGUUGUAAAGCACUUUCAGUGAGGAAGAACGCCUGGUGGUUAAUACCCAUCAGGAAAGACAUCACUCACAGAAGAAGCACCGGCUAACUCCGUGCCAGCAGCCGCGGUAAUACGGAGGGUGCGAGCGUUAAUCGGAAUUACUGGGCGUAAAGCGCGCGUAGGUGGCUUGAUAAGCCGGUUGUGAAAGCCCCGGGCUCAACCUGGGAACGGCAUCCGGAACUGUCAAGCUAGAGUGCAGGAGAGGAAGGUAGAAUUCCCGGUGUAGCGGUGAAAUGCGUAGAGAUCGGGAGGAAUACCAGUGGCGAAGGCGGCCUUCUGGACUGACACUGACACUGAGGUGCGAAAGCGUGGGUAGCAAACAGGAUUAGAUACCCCAGUAGUC
RNAcentral lists this ribosomal RNA (465 nucleotides) under Vreelandella stevensii. RNAcentral's name for it is "partial 16S ribosomal RNA". It matches the Rfam family "Bacterial small subunit ribosomal RNA", at positions 338 to 795 of the family's 1533-position model. The record is from RNAcentral. Lineage: Bacteria; Pseudomonadati; Pseudomonadota; Gammaproteobacteria; Oceanospirillales; Halomonadaceae.